GCCUGGGUGGCUCAGUCGGUUAAGCGUCUGACUCUUGAUUUCAGCUCAGGUCAUGAUCUCGCAGUUCGUGGGUUUAAGCCCCACAUCAGGCU
Molecule: transfer RNA, 92 nt
Organism: Felis catus (domestic cat)
Lineage: Eukaryota; Metazoa; Chordata; Mammalia; Carnivora; Felidae
Rfam family: tRNA
About the family: Transfer RNA (tRNA) molecules are approximately 80 nucleotides in length.
Source: Rfam